UAAAAUGCGUGAAGAACUGUGGAGAUGGCCAGGCAAAGGAGGAUCUUCUUGGCUUCAUUUGUACCAGAGCACUUUAUCAAGACUGAAUAUAAUUUUGCUGGCCUAUUUAUGAGCUAAAAAUAGACAUUAUUUUGUUUGGCCCAUUUUCCAUCUUAGGCUCUCCUGGGAGCCCAGGUGAACUGUGGCUCAUUUUUAACUCCCUCCCAUCAUUGCGUAUUUUCCGUCGACCCAGGCUGCAUGGAAGUGAAAGUCACUUUGUACUGCCAGUCGCACUGGAGCGCGCUGAAUCUCCCAGAAGCAGGGAAAGAAAAAGGCCCGUGGAGAGGACUUUCCAUUCUUAGCGAAACCUAGCUGCUGUGGCCUGAGGGGCUAAUCAAGCAUUAUAAACACUGAUUAAAUAAGUUUGGAUGGGAGCAAAUUCUGCAUCUUCCGCCGCUGACUCGUGGGUCCUGAGGGGACUGCCCCUCCUACCCAGAUCUUGCUGUGGGUAGAAUUUAUGAAACUGUAAUCCAGCGACCUUCGUGUGGUCUCCAGACAAUCUCCUCCUGAGCUUAGAACUUUAGAGCUGAAUGUUACCUUAUAGAUGAUCUAGAUCCUUGCUACUGAAAACGUAACGCGCGGAACAGCAGACGGCCCUCAUCAGGAAUCUCGUCAGACAUGUAGAAUUCCCACCCCAGCCCUACGGAAUCAGAUCACGCCUUAAACGAGAUUUCCAGGUGGUUCACAUGCGCAUUGAAGUUCAAGAAGCAAUGGUGUGGAUCAAGACCCUUGUUUUAUAGGUUAGGAUGCUGUGGCCCCGAUCUGGGCAGUUAUUAGCUAGCAUCCCACAACAACCGUCAGAGCCUGCCAUUCUCCUUUCUCCAGGAUGCUGCGGUCCCUCCAUAUGACACGGCUUCUCUGGACUCUUGAAUGAAGAGUUAUUUGUAUAGUAUUUGCGUUCGUUAGUGGGAAAGGAAAUAGCACCUUGUUCACAUAAACAUAACCUGUGUCUGUGUUUCCAUGAUCUCUGAUAUAACUUGUUGAAAACGCCUAGCACAGUGCCUGUCUAUGUGGUAGGUGCCCAACUGACACUGUGAUCGUAUUGAUAAAAUUAUUAAUACUAAUAGUUGUUAUUGUCAUUAAUUUUGUGCUUGCAGUAAAAGUAACAGAAAAUAGUGAAAAUUUUCCUUGGAGGUUGCCUUAUACACCCAACCAGCUUGCAGACCAGAUCAGGAAAUCCUAGAGGCUGGUAUGGUGGGAAUGGGUUUACUUUCACUUAAAUUCCUACCACAGGGUAGGAGGUGGUUGGCUGGUGAAACAUCUACCAGCGCAUCACAGCUCCUUGUUGUCAUAAAGGAUUAUGUUUACCUGCUUCCCUGGCAGUGGUAAAAUAAAAAGAUGCGAAGUCAUUAAAGACACUACCACUGUCUUCUGGGAGAAUCUCUUCUCAUCAUAGGCUCAGUCUUUCUGGAUAAUUGGGUGACCACUCACCUCCUGGCCAGUGAUGUCUCUUCUCUUAAUUCUUUUCUUCCUCUUCUUCCUUCUCUUCCUUUGACAUUAGUCAAGCAGCUCCAUGGAGCUUUUUUUGCAGAUUUUUUGAGGUUUUCUACACAGCAAAUCACGUCAUCUGUGAAGAGAGAGUUUAAUUUCUUUUCCAGUCUUCUCCUGAAGUGCCCUCUGUCCACAGAGUGCACCUGCUGAGGAGUCACUGAGGACCAGCUGAGUGACACAGGCAGUUACACACAAGCAUGGAGCCAAGAUACCUGACAGUGGCGUGGACUUCCUGGAAGAAGUGAAUGUGAAUAGAACUGAAAGUAGAGGAGAAAGGGCAUUCUCAUGCAGGUGAUUUAAAGUCCAGAAUUUGGGAUAGAAAGGAAGUGAUGGGAAGGAGGAAAGUCGGAAUGGAAAGAAGGAAGGAGAGAAAAUAAGAACAAAUCUCUUACAUGUCCAUGUACUGUAUUAUUCCCUGAAUAUCUUACAGCAAAAACAAAAACAAAUAGUCUCUGUGAUAAUUCUAGCAUUCACAUUUCUUGGUUAAUUUCUCAAAUAAGUAUUUUAUUUUAAGGAAAAUAAUAAACAAAAUUAUAAAUUCAAAAUGGAGGGCAAGCGAUUUAGAACAUUUAGAUGGUUACUGCUCAAAUUACGGUCCCCGCCUCAUCAGUGUAAGCCUCACCUGGGUGCUUGUUAGAGGUGCACAUCCAGGGACCAUCGACGUGUGACUUGUGCUCAGAAAGGCUCUGUGCUUGGUUUAAUACACUGCUGUUGCCAACUUGAAAUUCCCAAUUUUUGAGCAAAGGGCCCUGAUUUUUCAUUUUGCACUGGAUUCCACACUUUAUGCAGGUGGUCCUGUGCAGACCCUUGGGCCCCACCUCAGAGCUAUUGAACAAGAAUCUGCAUGUUAACAAGAUCCUCAGGAGACCUGCAUGUGCCCUAAAAUUUAAGAAACAUCAUUUUCAAUGAUAAAGAAACAUUUGAACGAGUAGCAUGUUUUUUCUCUUGCAUCACGUGUUUGACUUUUAUCUUUUGUUGCUCCUGCCUUUAAUUUCCAGAGGGCUCAUUUAUAUAACCUUCUCCUACAGAUAAUCUGAAUAGUUGGUGUUCUGUAUAGCUGCCUGUAAAUACGUAUGGUCCUUUUACAUGUUUCUCCUUCACGGGACAGUAGGCAACAUUUUCUGUUCAAAAUUCAAGUAACAGGACAAAGCCAGAGGAAUAGUUAAAAAGUGGACUAAAGAAAGAAAAAAAGAGCGUGUUAAGGAAAGGAAGUAAAAUGAGAAGUGGAAAAGAGAUAUGGACAGAGUAAGGUGGUUGUAUAAUGAAGAAUUUGUCUGAUCUUUGUCCCAGGUUCCGGGCAUAAAGCUUAGAAGCCCUUGGCAUUUCCUGAGUGAUGGAAGGGUCUUUGCUACUUGUCGGCCCCUGGGAUCAUACCUGAUUUUAUGCUAGUGAGGUGACUCAUUGUGGGCCCCUAGAUAGGACAGAGGCUCGUCGCCAGAAAGACCAACCAAAAGAUUAAAGAGUUGGUCUUUGAGUCAGCUCAACUUCCAGGGAGGGAAGGGGGUGGAGACUGAGCUCAAUCACGUGGCCAAUGAUUUAAUCAAUCAAGCCUAUGUAACGGAAGCCCAGGAAAAGCUCUGGACACUGGCUCAGAGGACCUUCCUGGUUGGUGAACACACUGAUAUGGUGGAGGGUGUGACGUGAUGCACCUCGAUUCCACGAGAAGAGGGCGUGAAAGCUCUGCAUUUGGGGCCCUCCAGGCCUUGCCCUAUGUGUCUCUUCAUUAAACUGUUCCUCAUUUGCAUCCUUUAUAAUAAAAAUGUAAUCGCAAGUACAGCACUUUCCUGAGUCAUUCUAGCAAAUUAUCAAACCUGUGGGCAUCGUGGGAACCCCUGAACUUGUAACCAGUUGUUCAGAAGGGCUGGUGGCCUGAGGACCUUCAAAAUGUGGCUGGCACUGGAAAGGGGGGCAGUCCUGUUGGGAACGUGACCUUUAACCCAUGGGGUCUGCACAGACUCCAGGUAGUUAGUGCUAGCACUGAACUGUAGUAUUGCCGUGGGUGGCCAGAUGGUUGCUGUCAAAACAAAGGUAAAAAGUCAAUGUGAGGAGGUGUUGGCUCUCUUUGGUGUCCUCCACCAAGGUCAAGGCCCUCAUCGUACAGACACACUGAAGUUCAGGAAGCUGUCCCAAGGCAGCCAGGCCUGGACUUCUGCUCUGUAUGCAUGAAGUGCUGGCCACACAGUCAGAGGAAGUAGUUUCAUGCAGCAGCUGCCUAUUCAUUCUCAAAGAAAACUCUCACUAUGCAUAUGUAUAUCACUUCAUCAUGUUGUACAGCUUAAAUAUGUGCAAAUUUUAAAUAAAUGAAAUUUUUAAAAAGAGAGAAAACCUUCAAAGCUCAUAAAGACAAGGGGCUGGAUGUGGCAAGAGAGGAUGACAGAAAGCGAGGAGAACAUAUUGUCCUCUGCUAGGAGGGUACUAGCACCUUAAGAGGUUAAUAGGGGCUGGCCCCUUGGCUGAGUGGUUGGGGUUCUGCACACUCCGCAUCAGCAGCCUGGAUUCAUGUGUUUGAAUCCCGGGUGUGGACCUACUCCACUCAUUGGCCAUGCUGUGGAGGCAUCUUGCAUACAA
Molecule: long non-coding RNA, 4098 nt
Organism: Equus caballus (horse)
Lineage: Eukaryota; Metazoa; Chordata; Mammalia; Perissodactyla; Equidae
Source: RefSeq, a predicted model, not a curated record